Molecule: ribosomal RNA, 468 nt
Filed under: uncultured bacterium
Lineage: Bacteria
Description: partial 16S ribosomal RNA
Rfam family: Bacterial small subunit ribosomal RNA
Source: RNAcentral
GAAGAAAGAGGGAGGAGGGCGGAACACAUGCAAGUCGAACGGAAAGGCCCUGCUUUUGUGGGGUGCUCGAGUGGCGAACGGGUGAGUAACACGUGAGUAACCUGCCCUUGACUUUGGGAUAACUUCAGGAAACUGGGGCUAAUACCGGAUAGGAGCUCCUGCUGCAUGGUGGGGGUUGGAAAGUUUCGGCGGUUGGGGAUGGACUCGCGGCUUAUCAGCUUGUUGGUGGGGUAGUGGCUUACCAAGGCUUUGACGGGUAGCCGGCCUGAGAGGGUGACCGGCCACAUUGGGACUGAGAUACGGCCCAGACUCCUACGGGAGGCAGCAGUGGGGAAUAUUGCACAAUGGGCGGAAGCCUGAUGCAGCAACGCCGCGUGCGGGAUGACGGCCUUCGGGUUGUAAACCGCUUUCGCCUGUGACGAAGCGUGAGUGACGGUAAUGGGUAAAGAAGCACCGGCUAACUACGUG